CACCACCACCACCACCACCACCUCUUGGACUGGGCAAGAUAAGUGAACAGAAGGGGAUUUUGGGUCCUGGGCCAGCAGAUUUACGUUUCUCAGAGGCACUUUGACCUAACAAUUGGAAGGAAGCAAAAGGAGCAUAAAACACAAGAGGGUAACAACAUAGAAUGUAUUUAUCUAACUUCUUCAUGGUUGUUCAUAGGUUAACUUGCAUGCAUCCUUGUGUAACGCGUGUCUAUGUUGUGCAUGUAAUUUAGACCAAAUAGACAAUGUUUGGAACACCCUAACAGAAAUAGUAGUUUGCCUGAACCUGAUCAUUUUGUCAAGGUUUUGUGGGAAUAUUCAAUGCACAUCUUAAAUGUUUAGGUCUGUUGAGCAUUCAAACUGUUAAUUCAGAACUUCUGAAUUCUCUACUCCUCCCUUGUAGCUUGGGGAAAAAAAUUGAAUGUUAUAAAAAUGAG
RNAcentral lists this unclassified non-coding RNA (455 nucleotides) under Hevea brasiliensis (rubber tree). Lineage: Eukaryota; Viridiplantae; Streptophyta; Magnoliopsida; Malpighiales; Euphorbiaceae. The record is from RNAcentral.